AUUAGUGCCAUUUUGGUUUCAAUUCCCCCCAUUUAGGGCCAUUUUGGGGCCAUUUCCCCCAAUUUAGGCCCAUUUUGGGCCCAUUUAAGGCCAUUUUGGGGCCAUAUUAACCCAUUUAGGGCCAUAUAACUCCUUUAAGUUCAUUUUGGGGCCAUUUCUCACCAUUUAAGCCCAUUUUGGGUCCAUUUCCCCCCAUUUAGGCCCAUUUUGGGGCCAUAUAACCCCAUUUAGGGCCAUAUAACCCCUUUUAGGGCCAUUUUGGGGUCAAUUCCCCCCAUUUAGGGCCAUUUUGGGCUAAUUUAAGCCCAUUUUGGGGUCAAUUCCCUCCAUUUAGGGCCAUUUUGGGCCCAUUUGGGGCCAUUUUGGGCCCAUUUAAGCCCAUUUUGGGGCCAUUUCUCCCCAUUUAAGCCCAUUUUGGGGCCAUUUCUCCCCAUUUAGGGCCAUUUCUCCCCAUUUAAGGCAAUUUUGGGGCCAUUUCCCCCCAUUUAGGGCCAUUUUGGGGCCAUUUAACCCCAUUUAGGGCCAUAUAACCCCUUUUAGGGCCAUUUUGGGGUCAAUUCCCCCCAUUUAGGGCCAUAUAACCCCUUUUAGGGCCAUUUUGGGGUCAAUUCCCCCCAUUUAAGCCCAUUUUGGGGCCAUUUCCCCCCAUUUAGGCCCAUUAUGGGGCCAUAUAAACCCAUUUAGGGCCAUAUAACCCCUUUUAGGGCCAUUUUGGGGUCAAUUCCCCCCAUUUAGGCCCAUUAUGGGGCCAUAUAACCCCAUUUAGGGCCAUAUAACCCCUUUUAGGGCCAUUUUGGGGUCAAUUCCCCCCAUUUAGGGCCAUUUUGGGCCCAUUUAAGCCCAUUUUGGGGUCAAUUCCCCCCAUUUAGGGCCAUUAUUGGGGCUCAAUUUUGGAGGGACCAAUUUGGGGCCAUUUCCCACCCCAUUUAAGUC
Molecule: long non-coding RNA, 933 nt
Filed under: Coturnix japonica (Japanese quail)
Lineage: Eukaryota; Metazoa; Chordata; Aves; Galliformes; Phasianidae
Description: lncRNA (ENSCJPG00005002294.1)
Source: RNAcentral